GACGAACGCUGGCGGCGUGCCUAAUACAUGCAAGUCGAGCGGACCAAAGGGAGCUUGCUCCUGGAGGUUAGCGGCGAACGGGUGAGUAACACGUGGGCAACCUGCCUGUAAGACUGGGAUAACAUCGAGAAAUCGGUGCUAAUACCGGAUAAUAAAAAGAACUGCAUGGUUCUUUUUGAAAGAUGGUUUCGGCUAUCACUUACAGAUGGGCCCGCGGCGCAUUAGCUAGUUGGUGAGGUAACGGCUCACCAAGGCGACGAUGCGUAGCCGACCUGAGAGGGUGAUCGGCCACACUGGGACUGAGACACGGCCCAGACUCCUACGGGAGGCAGCAGUAGGGAAUCUUCCGGCAAUGGACGAAAGUCUGACGGAGCAACGCCGCGUGAGUGAUGAAGGUUUUCGGAUCGUAAAACUCUGUUGUUAGGGAAGAACAAGUGCCGUUCGAAAGGGCGGCACCUUGACGGUACCUAACGAGAAAGCCACGGCCAACUACGUGCCAGCAG
RNAcentral lists this ribosomal RNA (503 nucleotides) under uncultured bacterium. RNAcentral describes it as "bacterial SSU rRNA". It matches the Rfam family "Bacterial small subunit ribosomal RNA", at positions 28 to 514 of the family's 1533-position model. The record is from RNAcentral.